AUACUUACCUGGCAGGAGAGAUGCCAUGCUCAUGAAGGUGGUUUUCCCAGGGCAAGGCACCCCCAUUUUGCUCCAGAUGAGCUGACCCUGGGAUUUCCCCAAAGGAGGGAAACUUGACCACAUAGCUUGUGGUUGGGGGUGGGGGUAGAGGUUUGUUUCUCUACCCU
This is a small nuclear RNA of Arvicola amphibius (Eurasian water vole), 167 nucleotides long. RefSeq annotates it as U1 spliceosomal RNA. The transcript has a single exon. The record is from RefSeq and is a predicted model, not a curated record. NCBI's taxonomy places the organism in Eukaryota, Metazoa, Chordata, Mammalia, Rodentia, Cricetidae.